UAAGUUCAGUCAGAAUCUGUUCUCCUUGUAACAGAAUAGAAUUGGAAAAAUUAUUUGUUUUACUAAGGCUUUGACUGGAAUGUCAUAUCAGAAAAUGAUGUACAUAGAAUCUGGCUUUAAGAAACAACAAUUGAUUUUAUGUGGCCAAUGCUUACAAAGCCCUCUUGGGAAAACUGGCCUGGUACCUGGCUCAUAGCAUUCCCAGUUUUACAUGUGUGUAAGGAGAUCACUUUUUGGCAGACUCAGGAACCUCACGAUAUCGUGGGAAUCUCAAGAAAAGAGGAAUUCACUGAAAUCUAUGGUUACCACAAGAAAAAUCUGGUGAAAUUUUCCUCAUUAAAUGCCUGAAUGUUUAUACCAUACAGCAAAUAUCCCAUACUGGGCCCCAACAGAUGACUCAGUUGGCUGUUAAUGAAUGAUUUGGUCAAAGAUAGAAACAAACUAAGCGUGAGUUUGAGGAAGCCCUGAAGCCAGUUUCCAGUAUAUGGUGACAUCUCUCUGGUGGUCAGGUGGACCUGAUUUUUUUCUACAUAGCAUUUCACAGUGAGUAUUUUUCUUCCUGUGUCUUAGCCACAAUUUUUAAAAUGGUUUCUUUUUUUCUGUUUCAC
RNAcentral lists this long non-coding RNA (608 nucleotides) under Pan troglodytes (chimpanzee). RNAcentral describes it as "long non-coding RNA NONPTRT012782". Lineage: Eukaryota; Metazoa; Chordata; Mammalia; Primates; Hominidae. The record is from RNAcentral.